AACGAACGCUGGCGGCAUGCCUAACACAUGCAAGUCGAACGAGACCUUCGGGUCUAGUGGCGCACGGGUGCGUAACGCGUGGGAACCUGCCUUUAGGUUCGGAAUAACUCAGAGAAAUUUGAGCUAAUACCGGAUGAUGUCUUCGGACCAAAGAUUUAUCGCCUUUAGAUGGGCCCGCGUUGAAUUAGCUAGUUGGUGGGGUAAAGGCCUACCAAGGCGACGAUCCAUAGCUGGUCUGAGAGGAUGAUCAGCCACACUGGGACUGAGACACGGCCCAGACUCCUACGGGAGGCAGCAGUGGGGAAUAUUGGACAAUGGGCGAAAGCCUGAUCCAGCAAUGCCGCGUGAGUGAUGAAGGCCUUAGGGUUGUAAAGCUCUUUUACCCGAGAUGAUAAUGACAGUAUCGGGAGAAUAAGCUCCGGCUAACUCCGUG
RNAcentral lists this ribosomal RNA (433 nucleotides) under uncultured bacterium. RNAcentral describes it as "partial 16S ribosomal RNA". It matches the Rfam family "Bacterial small subunit ribosomal RNA", at positions 29 to 507 of the family's 1533-position model. The record is from RNAcentral.